This 396-nucleotide ribosomal RNA is filed under the name uncultured bacterium. Its description in RNAcentral is "partial 16S ribosomal RNA". It matches the Rfam family "Bacterial small subunit ribosomal RNA", at positions 523 to 918 of the family's 1533-position model. The record is from RNAcentral.
AUACGAAGGGUGCAAGCGUUAAUCGGAAUUACUGGGCGUAAAGCGCGCGUAGGUGGUUUUGUAAGUUGGAGGUGAAAGCCCCGGGCUCAACCUGGGAAUUGCCUCCAAAACUGCAUGACUAGAGUACGGUAGAGGGUAGUGGAAUUUCCUGUGUAGCGGUGAAAUGCGUAGAUAUAGGAAGGAACACCAGUGGCGAAGGCGACUACCUGGACUGAUACGGACACUGAGGUGCGAAAGCGUGGGGAGCAAACAGGAUUAGAUCCCCUGGUAGUCCACGCCGUAAACGAUGUCAACUAGCCGUUGGGAUCCUUGAGAUCUUAGUGGCGCAGCUAACGCAUUAAUUUGACCGCCUGGGGAGUACGGCCGCAAGGUUAAAACUCAAAUGAAUUGGCGGGG